This 112-nucleotide non-coding RNA is filed under the name uncultured Blautia sp. RNAcentral's name for it is "FMN riboswitch (RFN element)". It matches the Rfam family "FMN riboswitch aptamer (RFN element)". From Rfam's summary of the family: The RFN element is a highly conserved domain that is found frequently in the 5'-untranslated regions of prokaryotic mRNAs that encode for flavin mononucleotide (FMN) biosynthesis and transport proteins. This element is a metabolite-dependent riboswitch that directly binds FMN in the absence of proteins. Lineage: Bacteria; Bacillati; Bacillota; Clostridia; Lachnospirales; Lachnospiraceae. The record is from RNAcentral.
UUCUUCGGGGCAGGGUGUAAUUCCCUACCGGCGGUUACAGUCCGCGAGCCAUAUUAAUUGGUUGAAUUGGUGCAAUUCCAAUACCGACAGUAUAGUCUGGAUGAGAGAAGAA